UUUCUGACCCGGCGGUGGACUUGGAGUUGGGCGUCUGCCGGUCACACGGCUCGCCUCAAAGACCUUAGUGGGAACAUCGGCCUAUGGCUUGACGUAAUAAGUUUCGUCUCGCACGGUCGGUGACGCCUGCUCACAACCAGCCCUCGGGCAAUUACUUUUUGCUAGACCUCAAAUCAGGUAGGACUACCCGCUGAACUUAA
This 200-nucleotide unclassified non-coding RNA is filed under the name soil metagenome. RNAcentral's name for it is "partial contains internal transcribed spacer 2 and large subunit ribosomal RNA". The record is from RNAcentral.